GUGCCAGCAGCCGCGGUAAUACCGGCAGCCCGAGUGAUGGCAGAUCUUAUUGGGCCUAAAGCGUCCGUAGCUGGCCGCACAAGUCCGUCGGGAAAUCCGCCCGCUCAACGGGCGGCCGUCCGGCGGAACCUGUGCGGCUUGGGACCGGAAGAUCCAAGGGGUACGUCCGGGGUAGGAGUGAAAUCCCGUAAUCCUGGACGGACCACCGAUGGCGAAAGCACCUUGGAAGGACGGAUCCGACAGUGAGGGACGAAAGCCAGGGUCUCCAACCGGAUUAGAUACCCCAGUAGUCC
RNAcentral lists this ribosomal RNA (293 nucleotides) under uncultured bacterium. Its description in RNAcentral is "partial 16S ribosomal RNA". It matches the Rfam family "Archaeal small subunit ribosomal RNA", at positions 455 to 747 of the family's 1478-position model. The record is from RNAcentral.